CAUCCCUUUGGCAUGCUGUCCUGGUCCUGGAGAAAGACAACAAGAGACAGAAGCUAUUUGGCUUCUUGGCUGACUCUCAAGUCUUAACUGAGGUCCAGGAAAGGUUGAGGUGUCGGUAUGGAUCCACUGUUGCCAAGGACGCAAGAACAAAACCCUUCAUUUUAAAUGCCAGUGGAAAAAUGUUCAGGAUAAAUACCAAGACACAUAAUGUGCUUUUAUUAAGGCAGCUUUUAAAAUGAGUUUUGGAAAACAGCCUUCAAGUGACUAUAAAGGUCCUCCUUGAGUGGAGGUCACUUGAGAAUUUGGCUUUGUGGACACAAACACUCCUGAACUGUUUUGGUUUUGCUGCCCUCAGGUAGGAGCCCCUGCACCUGGGCUGGACUCAAGCUCUGGGAUUACAGACAGCAAGCAAAGAAAAUGCUUAGAAGAGCAGAGAUUCAUGGUGUUCAUAGUAACUGCAGGAAGACAACAUGAGUGUAUCACAGAUGAGUCAGAAGAAAGACUGCUGGUGAAGCCUGAAGGUGAAAGACAAGGGCAGAGACUAUGAACAGAGUGAGAUGGUUGGAGCUCUGCUCCCAUCCUAGGAGAAUAAAUGGGACACCCUGGAGGUGAAACAACCCUAUUUUAUAGGUACGAGACCUACAAGUGGUAUCUCUUGUGGCAUGAACAAAUGUCUAUUUACUCCAGAUAAGGCACCAAUGACAUAUCAAAGAAACAAUUGCAUCAGUCUCUCUUGGUAAGUCGGUGAAUUUAAAUGGAAUUAUAUACAGAAGCGUAAAUAGAGGGUUACUUACAAGGGCAUAGGCAACUCAUGGGUAGCUACACCACUGAAGAAGAGCC
This 840-nucleotide long non-coding RNA is filed under the name Cricetulus griseus (Chinese hamster). RNAcentral describes it as "lncRNA (ENSCGRG00000024552.1)". The record is from RNAcentral. Lineage: Eukaryota; Metazoa; Chordata; Mammalia; Rodentia; Cricetidae.